UCGAGUGGCAAACGGGGUGAGUAACGCGUAAACACCUGCCUUCGGAUGGGGAUACAGCCGGAAACGGCUGCUAAUCCGAUACGAUCUUUUCGUCGCAUGACGGAAAAGAAGAAAAGGAUGGCUCUAUACAAAGCUAUCGCCGAAGGAGGGGUUUUUGCGUCUGAUUUAGCUGGUUGGAGGGGUAACGGCCCAACAAGGCGAUGAUCAGUAGCCGGUCUGAGAGGAUGAACGGCCACAUUGGGACUGAGACACGGCCCAGACUCCUACGGGAGGCAGCAGUGGGGAAUCUUCCGCAAUGGACGAAAGUCUGACGGAGCAACGCCGCGUGAGUGAAGAAGGUCUUCGGAUUGUAAAGCUCUGUUAUACGGGACGAAAAAGACGGAUGCCAACAGUAUCCGUCCGUGACGGUACCGUAAGAGAAAGCCACGGCUAACUACGUGCCAGCAGCCGCGGUAAAU
RNAcentral lists this ribosomal RNA (458 nucleotides) under uncultured Megasphaera sp. Its description in RNAcentral is "bacterial SSU rRNA". It matches the Rfam family "Bacterial small subunit ribosomal RNA", at positions 91 to 525 of the family's 1533-position model. The record is from RNAcentral. Lineage: Bacteria; Bacillati; Bacillota; Negativicutes; Veillonellales; Veillonellaceae.